Saccostrea cuccullata (small rock oyster) is the source of this 537-nucleotide long non-coding RNA. RefSeq lists it as uncharacterized. The transcript is spliced from 4 exons. The record is from RefSeq and is a predicted model, not a curated record. Lineage: Eukaryota; Metazoa; Mollusca; Bivalvia; Ostreida; Ostreidae.
GUUACAAAGAAGGAAAACUAAGCGAUGGCAUCAUGCAUUACACAUGUGGUCUGUCAUUUACUUUGUAAACAUUGAUUUCCACGUUUGAAUGUCGGAUUGAUUCAAAGAGAAAAGAGUGGAUGUUUCCUGCCCUGCCCCGGAAGAUGCCUCGAGUUUUUACAAGAGGUUGGGACUGGACAUUUUGGCCCCGUCCUCCACUUCCGGGCAGACCCAGGAGGUCUCAGUUUUUUUAUUUAUGUACAUGUAUCGUUAAUCUGAAAAGCUAGGCAGCCUAAGAAACGUCCUGUUCAGCAGGCGAGCCACACAGCUAACCUGACCACAACGCCCACUCAAAGAUCCGACAAAGUGGGACAACAGUGGCACCAGUCUCAGCAGAGAGAAAGGCAGGCGCCUCAUCAUAUCAGACAAAAUUAUCCUCAUGAAAACAGGUACAUUGAAAGAGCUGCAACUGUGAAUACUGCUGCCACCUACCGACCGCAAUAUGCACCGGUCCAUCGUCCUCAUGAGCAACAAACUCAUUAUAGGACAGGCGUGGUA